RNAcentral lists this long non-coding RNA (443 nucleotides) under Fukomys damarensis (Damara mole-rat). RNAcentral describes it as "lncRNA (ENSFDAG00000025137.1)". Lineage: Eukaryota; Metazoa; Chordata; Mammalia; Rodentia; Bathyergidae. The record is from RNAcentral.
UUUGAAGGUAGCAUGUGUUAGAAUUGCAGUCACUCUUUUGCUUAAAUUUUAAAUCAACUGGUUAGUUGUGGAUAUAUUUAGACUCCUUAUUUCUGCUAUAUUUUGUUGUACUUCUAGGUGAUGAAGUUAUAAGAUCACUUCCACAACUCAGGAACUUUUUGGAAGUAUUCUGGAGUGGUGGUGAGAAAUUGAUAACUGUACACAUUUAAAAUGCAUUUUGAAUCCUCAUCGCAAUAACUGGAUAUAUACCUUGAGGAGAAACGAAUUCUCUUAUCAAGGAGUAUGGGAAUGGAUGUCAAGGUGCAACGAUGACACUGCAAGGAAAAUAAUCCAACCAGAUGGGAAGGAGUAUACAGCACUAAGACACAUUUGACAAAGACACAGAAAAUUUCUUCGUGCUCUAAAAUAAAGUAAGCUUAUGAAAUUGCAAUUUUCGAUGAAAG